UACGUAGGGUGCAAGCGUUAAUCGGAAUUACUGGGCGUAAAGCGUGCGCAGGCGGUUUUGUAAGCCAGCUGUGAAAUCCCCGGGCUCAACCUGGGAAUGGCAUUUGGGACUGCAAGGCUGGAGUGUGGCAGAGGAGACUGGAAUUCCAGGUGUAGCGGUGAAAUGCGUAGAUAUCUGGAGGAACACCGGUGGCGAAGGCGGCAUCCUGGACCAACACUGACACUGAUGAGCGAAAGCCAGGGGAGCAAACGGG
RNAcentral lists this ribosomal RNA (253 nucleotides) under uncultured bacterium. Its description in RNAcentral is "partial 16S ribosomal RNA". It matches the Rfam family "Bacterial small subunit ribosomal RNA", at positions 524 to 776 of the family's 1533-position model. The record is from RNAcentral.